UCCCUUAUGGACGAUAUAGGAUCUUCAAGGGCCUUGACGCAAGAAGAACAAGCAUUAUCAAGUUCUCCAACCCCUAAUCCUGGCCCUCCGAUGCUCGCCAAUGCUUUUAGACAUCUAGCUGCAGCUACUCUAACAAUAGAUGAUUUGUCCACGACCCCAGUUCGCAUAAUGAUACGAAAUGCAUCAGUAUAUGCUGAGGCAGCAGCACCUCCACCAGAGCCUUCUAAAGCAUUUUGAAGCAUCUGUAAAGCUUCUUCUCUAACAAAGUCCUCAUUGAACUUCAGUAGUUUUGUGACAAUCGUGGUUGUUUCAAGUAAGCCUGAAGUGAUUCGUCUCCCAAAAUAGCGAUACAAUUCUCCCAAGCACUCGGCAGCACCCGCGAUUCGUUGAGGCUCG
RNAcentral lists this unclassified non-coding RNA (396 nucleotides) under Hevea brasiliensis (rubber tree). The record is from RNAcentral. Lineage: Eukaryota; Viridiplantae; Streptophyta; Magnoliopsida; Malpighiales; Euphorbiaceae.